Molecule: long non-coding RNA, 2051 nt
Organism: Oncorhynchus keta (chum salmon)
Lineage: Eukaryota; Metazoa; Chordata; Actinopteri; Salmoniformes; Salmonidae
Exons: 5
Source: RefSeq, a predicted model, not a curated record
ACACACAACAGACACAGUUAGCCUGGAGAACAGACACAGUUAGCCUGGAGAACAGACACACAACAGACACAGUUAGCCUGGAGAACAGACACAGUUAGCCUGGAGAACAGACACAGUUAGCCUGGAGAACAGACACACAACAAACACAGUUAGCCUGGACAACAGACACACAACAGACACAGUUAGCCUGGAGAACAGACACACAACAGACACAGUUAGCCUGGAGAACAGACACACAACAGACACAGUUAGCCUGGAGAACAGACACGCAACAAACACAGUUAGCCUGGACAACAGACACACAACAAACACAGUUAGCCUGGACAACAGACACACAACAGACACAGUUAGCCUGGAGAACAGACACACAACAGACACAGUUAGCCUGGAGAACAGACACACAACAAACACAGUUAGCCUGGACAACAGACACACAACAGACACAGUUAGCCUGGAGAACAGACACACAACAGACACAGUUAGCCUGGAGAACAGACACAGUUAGCCUGGAGAACAGACACACAACAGACACACAACAAACACAGUUAGCCUGGAGAACAGACCCAGAAAAAAGACCCCUGUUAUUAACAGACCCGGUGGUUGAUGGUAAAUGUGUCAUCACUAAUCCAAGGAAGACAGCUGGUUAACCACACCAGACAGUAAACAGUCAGAGUUAUCUGGUGUAAUAACUGGCAGAGUGACUGUGUAGUGACUGUAGAGACCCAGGAAUAUAAUAACAGUAGCAGGUCUGUCAGAGUGACUGUGUAGUGACUGUAGAGACCCAGGAAUAUAAUAACAGUAGCAGGUCUGUCAGAGUGACUGUGUAGUGACUGUAGAGACCCAGGAAUAUAAUAACAGUAGCAGGUCUGUCAGAGUGACUGUGUAGUGACUGUAGAGACCCAGGAAUAUAAUAACAGUAGCAGGUCUGUCAGAGUGACUGUGUAGUGACUGUAGAGACCCAGGAAUAUAAUAACAGUAGCAGGUCUGUCAGAGUGACUGUGUAGUGACUGUAGAGACCCAGGAAUAUAAUAACAGUAGCAGGUCUGUCAGAGUGACUGUGUAGUGACUGUAGAGACCCAGGAAUAUAAUAACAGUAGCAGGUCUGUCAGAGUGACUGUGUAGUGACUGUAGAGACCCAGGAAUAUAAUAACAGUAGCAGGUCUGUCAGAGUGACUGUGUAGUGACUGUAGAGACCCAGGAAUAUAAUAACAGUAGCAGGUCUGUCAGAGUGACUGUGUAGUGACUGUAGACUCAUGAAUAUCUCUUUAUGUAUCCCACAGAGAGAGGCUCUAAGUUAAGCAUGUUAUUGGGCACAGAGGGCAGAUUGUUUUAACAACAAGGACUACCCCUCAGCAUGUACUUCAGCCAGUCCACUCUGCUGGACUCCACCCUAUUGACAUAUCCAGCUUGUUUUGGACAUCAGGACUCUAAUCUCUGUUCUAGUUCUGAGCUCUGCCAAGGGUGGAGCUAAAUGAUCUUAGCAUGACAAGAUGAUGUUAUUAUUAUUAUAUUAAGAUGACGAUCUGCCUGUCAGCUCUCUGAUAUUUUUACCCCUCUGCCGUCUGUGUCUGUCUCUAACGCUCAGACAGAGAAACCCUGGAGAGGUGAGGCCAGGGUUUUCAUGGCUGGCUGCUGGGUGCAUUAUCACCAUCCUCACCGUCUGGCUGAAGUACUGCCAUGGCAUUAGAGCACUGUACCCUUAUGGUUCAUGUUCAACCUGACCUAUAUCCUCAUUGUUUCAGAUAUGAUCAUUUAUAUUUUGUGUUAAAAUGAAGAAAAUUAGAUGUGCCUCAUUUGCUUAAGUGCAUUCAGAAAGUAUUCAGGCCCCUUGAUCUUUUUCCACAUUUUGUUACGUUACAGUCUUGUCCUGUUGGAAGAUGAACCAUUGCCCCAGUCUGAGGUUAUGAGCACUCUGGAGCAGGUUUUCAUCACGGAUCUCUCUAAACUUUGCUACCUUCCUCUUUGCCUCGAUCCUGACUAGUCUCCCAGUCUCUGCUGAUGAAAAACAUCCCCACAGCAUGAUGCUGCCACCACCAUGCUUCACAGUAGGG